This 673-nucleotide ribosomal RNA is filed under the name Escherichia coli. RNAcentral's name for it is "partial 23S ribosomal RNA". It matches the Rfam family "Bacterial large subunit ribosomal RNA", at positions 1 to 717 of the family's 2925-position model. Lineage: Bacteria; Pseudomonadati; Pseudomonadota; Gammaproteobacteria; Enterobacterales; Enterobacteriaceae. The record is from RNAcentral.
GGUUAAGCGACUAAGCGUACACGGUGGAUGCCCUGGCAGUCAGAGGCGAUGAAGGACGUGCUAAUCUGCGAUAAGCGUCGGUAAGGUGAUAUGAACCGUUAUAACCGGCGAUUUCCGAAUGGGGAAACCCAGUGUGAUUCGUCACACUAUCAUUAACUGAAUCCAUAGGUUAAUGAGGCGAACCGGGGGAACUGAAACAUCUAAGUACCCCGAGGAAAAGAAAUCAACCGAGAUUCCCCCAGUAGCGGCGAGCGAACGGGGAGCAGCCCAGAGCCUGAAUCAGUGUGUGUGUUAGUGGAAGCGUCUGGAAAGGCGCGCGAUACAGGGUGACAGCCCCGUACACAAAAAUGCACAUGCUGUGAGCUCGAUGAGUAGGGCGGGACACGUGGUAUCCUGUCUGAAUAUGGGGGGACCAUCCUCCAAGGCUAAAUACUCCUGACUGACCGAUAGUGAACCAGUACCGUGAGGGAAAGGCGAAAAGAACCCCGGCGAGGGGAGUGAAAAAGAACCUGAAACCGUGUACGUACAAGCAGUGGGAGCCUCUUUAUGGGGUGACUGCGUACCUUUUGUAUAAUGGGUCAGCGACUUAUAUUCUGUAGCAAGGUUAACCGAAUAGGGGAGCCGAAGGGAAACCGAGUCUUAACUGGGCGUUAAGUUGCAGGGUAUAGACCCG